GGAGAGGUGGCCGAGCGGUCGAAGGCGCACGAUUGGAAAUCGUGUAUACGGGAAACCGUAUCGAGGGUUCGAAUCCCU
RNAcentral lists this transfer RNA (78 nucleotides) under Holosporales bacterium. RNAcentral's name for it is "tRNA-Ser". It matches the Rfam family "tRNA", at positions 1 to 62 of the family's 71-position model. Rfam says of the family: Transfer RNA (tRNA) molecules are approximately 80 nucleotides in length. The record is from RNAcentral. Lineage: Bacteria; Pseudomonadati; Pseudomonadota; Alphaproteobacteria; Holosporales.